Molecule: ribosomal RNA, 277 nt
Filed under: uncultured bacterium
Lineage: Bacteria
Description: partial 16S ribosomal RNA
Rfam family: Bacterial small subunit ribosomal RNA
Source: RNAcentral
AAUUAACGCUGGCAGAGUGCAUAACACAUGCAAGUCGAGCGAGGGGGAUAGAGUAUCAUUUCCUUAGCGGCAGACGAGUGAGUAACACGUAAGCAACCUGCCCCCGAAUGGCGAACAACCAGCCGAAAGGUUGGCUAAUACGCCGUACAGUCCCUGGAAGGCAUCUUUUGGGGAUGAUAGGCCCGCAAGGGUCGAUCGGGGAGGGGCUUGCGGCCCAUCAGCUAGUUGGCGGGGUAACAGCCCACCAAGGCUAUGACGGGUACCCGGCCUGAAAGGG